This 253-nucleotide ribosomal RNA is filed under the name uncultured bacterium. RNAcentral describes it as "partial 16S ribosomal RNA". It matches the Rfam family "Bacterial small subunit ribosomal RNA", at positions 524 to 776 of the family's 1533-position model. The record is from RNAcentral.
UACGAAGGGGGCUAGCGUUGUUCGGAAUUACUGGGCGUAAAGCGCACGUAGGCGGAUUGUUAAGUCAGAGGUGAAAUCCCGGAGCUCAACUUCGGAACUGCCUUUGAUACUGGCAAUCUAGAGUCCGGAAGAGGUUAGUGGAAUUCCCAGUGUAGAGGUGAAAUUCGUAGAUAUUCGCAAGAACACCAGUGGCGAAGGCGGCUUACUGGUCCGGUUCUGACGCUGAGGCGCGAAAGCGUGGGGAGCAAACAGG